RNAcentral lists this transfer RNA (82 nucleotides) under Trichoplusia ni ascovirus 2c. It matches the Rfam family "tRNA". From Rfam's summary of the family: Transfer RNA (tRNA) molecules are approximately 80 nucleotides in length. Their secondary structure includes four short double-helical elements and three loops (D, anti-codon, and T loops). Lineage: Varidnaviria; Bamfordvirae; Nucleocytoviricota; Megaviricetes; Pimascovirales; Ascoviridae. The record is from Rfam by way of RNAcentral.
GUCAGGUUGGCCGAGUGGUCUAAGGCGCCAGAUUUAAGAUCUGGUUCCCUCGGGAGCGUGGGUUCGAACCCCACACCUGACA